AUACGGAGGGUGCAAGCGUUGUUCGGAAUUAUUGGGCGUAAAGCGCGUGUAGGCGGCGAGGAAAGUCGGAUGUGAAAUCCCGGGGCCCAACCCCGGAACUGCAUUCGAAACUUCCUGGCUAGAGUCUCGGAGAGGAGAGCGGAAUUCCCAGUGUAGAGGUGAAAUUCGUAGAUAUUGGGAAGAACACCAGUGGCGAAGGCGGCUACCUGGACCGGUUCUGACGCUGAGGUGCGAAAGCGUGGGGAGCAAACAGGAUUAGAAACCCCAGUAGUCC
RNAcentral lists this ribosomal RNA (274 nucleotides) under uncultured bacterium. Its description in RNAcentral is "partial 16S ribosomal RNA". It matches the Rfam family "Bacterial small subunit ribosomal RNA", at positions 523 to 796 of the family's 1533-position model. The record is from RNAcentral.